This 61-nucleotide small nuclear RNA is filed under the name Arabidopsis thaliana (thale cress). RNAcentral's name for it is "partial putative U5 small nuclear RNA". Lineage: Eukaryota; Viridiplantae; Streptophyta; Magnoliopsida; Brassicales; Brassicaceae. The record is from RNAcentral.
CUCUCCACGCUAAGUGGCAUACGCCUAUUUUUGGAGGGAUCUCACUUCACAGUGGGACCCA